Molecule: ribosomal RNA, 253 nt
Filed under: uncultured bacterium
Lineage: Bacteria
Description: partial 16S ribosomal RNA
Rfam family: Bacterial small subunit ribosomal RNA
Source: RNAcentral
UACGAAGGGUGCGAGCGUUAAUCGGAAUUACUGGGCGUAAAGCGUGCGCAGGCGGAUGCUUAAGUCAGAUGUGAAAUCACCGGGCUUAACCUGGGAAUGGCAUUUGAAACUGGGCGUCUGGAGUGCGGCAGAGGGGGGUGGAAUUCCACGUGUAGCAGUGAAAUGCGUAGAGAUGUGGAGGAACACCGAUGGCGAAGGCAGCCCCCUGGGCCUGCACUGACGCUCAUGCACGAAAGCGUGGGGAGCAAACAGG